Molecule: ribosomal RNA, 497 nt
Filed under: uncultured bacterium
Lineage: Bacteria
Description: partial 16S ribosomal RNA
Rfam family: Bacterial small subunit ribosomal RNA
Source: RNAcentral
GAUGAACGCUGGCGGCGUGCCUAAUACAUGCAAGUCGAGCGAACGGACGAGAAGCUUGCUUUUCUGAUGUUAGUGGCGGACGGGUGAGUAACACGUGGAUAACCUACCUAUAAGACUGGGAUAACUUCGGGAAACCGGAGCUAAUACCGGAUAAUAUUAUGAACCGCAUGGUUCAAAAGUGAAAGACGGUCUUGCUGUCACUUAUAGAUGGAUCCGCGCUGCAUUAGCUAGUUGGUAAGGUAACGGCUUACCAAGGCAACGAUGCAUAGCCGACCUGAGAGGGUGAGCGGCCACACUGGAACUGAGACACGGUCCAGACUCCUACGGGAGGCAGCAGUAGGGAAACUUGCGCAAUGGGCGAAAGCCUGACGGAGCAACGCCGCGUGAGUGAUGAAGGUCUUCGGGUCGUAAAACUCUGUUAUUAGGGAAGAACAUAUGUGUAAGUAACUGUGCACAUCUUGACGGUACCGAAUCAGAAAGCAACGGCUAACUACGUG